GAGUUUUUUAUAAAAAAGAGGGGGUGGUUCAGUCGUAGGUGACCUGGGAAGGAUCUUUCC
Molecule: ribosomal RNA, 60 nt
Filed under: Phytophthora citrophthora var. clementina
Lineage: Eukaryota; Oomycota; Peronosporomycetes; Peronosporales; Peronosporaceae
Description: partial 18S ribosomal RNA
Source: RNAcentral